CCUACGGGAGGCAGCAGUGAGGAAUAUUGGUCAAUGGACGGAAGUCUGAACCAGCCAUGCCGCGUGCAGGAAGACGGCUCUAUGAGUUGUAAACUGCUUUUGUACAAGGGUAAACCUGAAUACGUGUAUUCAGCUGAAAGUACUGUACGAAUAAGGAUCGGCUAACUCCGUGCCAGCAGCCGCGGGAAUACGGAGGAUCCAAGCGUUAUCCGGAUUUAUUGGGUUUAAAGGGUGCGUAGGCGGAUUGAUAAGUUAGUGGUGAAAUUUCCGGGCUUAACCCUGGAACUGCCUCUAAUACUGUUGAUCUAGAGAGUAGAAGCGGUAGGCGGAAUGUAUGGUGUAGCGGUGAAAUGCUUAGAGAUCAUACAGAACACCGAUUGCGAAGGCAGCUUACCAAUCUAUAUCUGACGUUGAGGCACGAAAGCGUGGGGAGCAAACAGGAUUAGAUACCCGGGUAGUC
This 460-nucleotide ribosomal RNA is filed under the name uncultured bacterium. Its description in RNAcentral is "partial 16S ribosomal RNA". It matches the Rfam family "Bacterial small subunit ribosomal RNA", at positions 338 to 795 of the family's 1533-position model. The record is from RNAcentral.